GCGAGGAUGGCGGAACUGGCAGACGCGCUGGACUUAGGAUCCAGUGGGCUAACCGUGGGGGUUCAACUCCCCCUCCUCGCA
RNAcentral lists this transfer RNA (81 nucleotides) under Candidatus Omnitrophota bacterium. Its description in RNAcentral is "tRNA-Leu". It matches the Rfam family "tRNA". From Rfam's summary of the family: Transfer RNA (tRNA) molecules are approximately 80 nucleotides in length. Their secondary structure includes four short double-helical elements and three loops (D, anti-codon, and T loops). Further hydrogen bonds mediate the characteristic L-shaped molecular structure. tRNAs have two regions of fundamental functional importance: the anti-codon, which is responsible for specific mRNA codon recognition, and the 3' end, to which the tRNAs corresponding amino acid is attached (by aminoacyl-tRNA synthetases). tRNAs cope with the degeneracy of the genetic code in two manners: having more than one tRNA (with a specific anti-codon) for a particular amino acid; and 'wobble' base-pairing, i.e. permitting non-standard base-pairing at the 3rd anti-codon position. The record is from RNAcentral. Lineage: Bacteria; Pseudomonadati; Candidatus Omnitrophota.